CUCUGGGAGAGUCAAACAAACUUGAUUAGCAGCUUAUUUUAUAAGUUGUGAAAGAGGACUCGAAGAAAGGAGAA
Molecule: non-coding RNA, 74 nt
Filed under: unclassified sequences
Description: RAGATH-18 RNA
Rfam family: RAGATH-18 RNA
About the family: Actinobacteria, Firmicutes, Fusobacteria, Thermotogae (1 example).
Source: Rfam by way of RNAcentral